UCCCUGGUGGUCCAGUGGUUAGGACGUUGCCUUCCUGUGCAUGGGGUACAGGUUCGAUCCCUGGUCAGGGAG
RNAcentral lists this transfer RNA (72 nucleotides) under Ovis aries (sheep). It matches the Rfam family "tRNA". From Rfam's summary of the family: Transfer RNA (tRNA) molecules are approximately 80 nucleotides in length. Their secondary structure includes four short double-helical elements and three loops (D, anti-codon, and T loops). Further hydrogen bonds mediate the characteristic L-shaped molecular structure. tRNAs have two regions of fundamental functional importance: the anti-codon, which is responsible for specific mRNA codon recognition, and the 3' end, to which the tRNAs corresponding amino acid is attached (by aminoacyl-tRNA synthetases). tRNAs cope with the degeneracy of the genetic code in two manners: having more than one tRNA (with a specific anti-codon) for a particular amino acid; and 'wobble' base-pairing, i.e. permitting non-standard base-pairing at the 3rd anti-codon position. Lineage: Eukaryota; Metazoa; Chordata; Mammalia; Artiodactyla; Bovidae. The record is from Rfam by way of RNAcentral.